AGUAAUGCAUCGGAACGUACCGAGUAGUGGGGGAUAACUGUCCGAAAGGAUGGCUAAUACCGCAUACGCUUUGAGAAGGAAAGCGGGGGAUCUUCGGACCUCGCGCUAUUCGAGCGGCCGAUGUCUGAUUAGCUAGUUGGUGGGGUAAAGGCCUACCAAGGCGACGAUCAGUAGCGGGUCUGAGAGGAUGAUCCGCCACACUGGGACUGAGACACGGCCCAGACUCCUACGGGAGGCAGCAGUGGGGAAUUUUGGACAAUGGGCGCAAGCCUGAUCCAGCCAUGCCGCGUGUCUGAAGAAGGCCUUCGGGUUGUAAAGGACUUUUGUCAGGGAAGAAAAGCUUUGGGUUAAUACCCUGGAGUGAUGACGGUACCUGAAGAAUAAGCACCGGCUAACUACGUGCCAGCAGCCGCGGUAAUACGUAGGGUGCGAGCGUUAAUCGGAAUUACUGGGCGUAAAGCGAGCGCAGACGGUUUGUUAAGCAGGAUGUGAAAUCCCCGGGCUCAACCUGGGAACUGCGUUCUGAACUGGCAGGCUAGAGUAUGUCAGAGGGGGGUAGAAUUCCACGUGUAGCAGUGAAAUG
RNAcentral lists this ribosomal RNA (583 nucleotides) under Neisseria shayeganii. RNAcentral's name for it is "bacterial SSU rRNA". It matches the Rfam family "Bacterial small subunit ribosomal RNA", at positions 109 to 688 of the family's 1533-position model. Lineage: Bacteria; Pseudomonadati; Pseudomonadota; Betaproteobacteria; Neisseriales; Neisseriaceae. The record is from RNAcentral.